CUUGAUAGCUCUGUUAAUUCUACUUACAUGUCUGUUUUGCUCUUUGAAGUUUGAUAUUUGGUUUAAAUGAAGCUGCAUACAGAGAGGUGAUGGAUAGAAGAGGAAGGGACCUGCCUGAGAGGUGGGCCAGAGAGGUUUCCUCGGGGUGCGAGGCUGAGGAAAGAGAGGGAUGUGCCCAGGUGAGAGCUGGGAGGGUUCACUCUUAGGUAUGUGGAAUAAGGAUCAACAUAAAAUUGUGAUAGAGGGCUUUGUAUUAUAUAUAUUAUAUUAUAUUAUAUUAUAUUAUAUUAUUAUAUAUAAAAUAUUAUAUGCCUUUUCGUUUGGUUUUUAUUGUAUCAUUUGUUGAAAAUUGUCAAUAAAAUUUAAUACAAAAAACCACAAACCCAUCCCUGGGGCUGUAUCUUGCAGGGGACGAUCAGAAGCAUUGGACAAGCUGUCUUUGAGGCAGCUUGUUGUCAUUUAAAAAUCCCCUGACAAGGCAUCAAGGAGGAUUCCAUUUUACACUGAUUCCUACACCAAAUCUGGCAAUUCCAAAAUUGAACCCUUUGCAUCUGUUUAUAUCCAUGCUGCUUGUACAUUAUGUUUGUUUAGUUUUUUAAAAAAGACUAAUUAUAUAGAAAUUUAUGUGCAACCUCCCCCCAUAAUAUGCACAUUAUUAUACACAAUAUUGUAUGCAUAAUAAUGUGUAUAAUUGUAUAGCAAUGUACAACAUUUCAAGAAUUUUAGUGGAAGCAUUGAGAUUAAGGAGCAAAAUGGGAAUUAGGAAAAAAAUUGUGUUGAGAGGUUUGAGCUGGAUAUUGAGGUUUUCAGAAAAUCCCAUCCCUGACAAGCUUCUGAGAAAUCCCAGAUGUUGAAAAAGCUAAUGUGGAAGUUCCUAAAUACUAAGGCAACUCCUACAACUAUCUGUUCUGCUAAUGUGCCUUGCUGCAGCCUCCCCCUCUGCCUCUGCCACUGGCAGAGAAGCAGCAGCAGCAUCAGUGCCAAUUUCCGGCAAGAUCUUGCAUGCUUCAUGAGACCUCGUGAGGCCGCGCUGGAAACUGGCGCUGAUGCCGGUGCCACUUCUCUGCCAGUCAGCUAAUUACACUACAGUAACACUCUGGUUACAAACUUAAUUCAUUCCGGAGGUCCGUUCUUAAGCUGAAACCGUUCUUAUCCUGAGGUACCACUUUAGCUAAUGGCUGCGCCAUUCACAUCCUGAGGCAAAGUUCGCAACCAGGAGCAGCUACUUCUGGUUUAGCGGAGUUUGUAACACAAAGUGUUUGUAACCCAAAGUGUUCGUAACCAGAGCUACCACUGUACUUAGUGAAAGCUGAACCGUUUGUAACCUACGUACCCUCUUGGACCUUUUAUUUGCUGAGGAGCAAAGUCUGAAACAGUCGGCUAUCCAGGAAGGACUGUCCUGCUACUGCCUCUGGAGCACCAACUUCUUUCAGGGUGUUCACUGCUAAAUAUAUGAACAAGUCGUGAAGAUAACCAGGCGCAGCUGUGCUGUGGUCGGGACUUGAUACUUAUUUUGGAAGGCAUGUUGCCUCAAUCAUUCUCUGUUUGAUACACCAUUGAAAAAAUCCCCUACUUGGGGAAAUUCUCUGAAGUCACAUUAGUGGGUGUUACCUUGCAUAUAUUGUAUGCCACUUGACUCUGAAUGAAGAUACAAUUUAGUAGUUAUAUAAAGUGUUGUAAUCAAAUUAUUAGCCUGUCGUGUUGCUUUUAGGUUGCCAGACUUCUCUGCCAGUGGCUGAAGUGGCAGGACAGGCUUCACCCCCCCCCCCCAGGGCUAAGCUGGGCCUGUCUACCAAACAAGGAGAUACUAGCACCUGGGAUGAAGCCAGAGUCUGGCUUUCUUGCAGUUGGGCUGAAGGCUCAAAGGUAUGCUGUUUGCUUUUCAGGAAACUGUGUUUGUUUACGAAUGAACGCUGUUUGCUCCCCAGUGCUCAGCAUACGUAUUUUUCUUUUAAAUAAACAGAUGCCACAGAAAUGACAGCAUAGAUCUCCAGGGCUCCCCCCAUACAAGGAUCCUUGUAAAAGGUUGCCCUCUGCUUAAGGGAAUGGAGAAUAUGAAAAACAUUACUGCUUCCAGCAGGAAGAGAACAAUAUUUUCCUCCUGAAUUAUUUUACUUUUAAGAAGAACAUGUAGCUUUACUUAACCAUUUCCUAGCAAGAGCAUUAAAACUUUUAUUUGAAAGUCUGCACAACACUUUUCAACCAGUUUUGAAUCUUGCCUUUCCCUUCCAAAAAGGGCCAGGCAUUGCCAAAAUUAGUAUAUAAAAACACCACAGUGGCUCAAGCUUUAAGGAAGCUACAUCAUUAAACAAGUGACACAAGUUUCAGAGGAUGCAUUUUAAUGCAAAGGCACUGUCGGAUAUCUGAUUGCUGCAUAUUAUACAAACAGAUGAACAGAAAUGUUACUAAAUCUAGCCUGAGCUCUGCAGAACAACAGUAUUUACAACCAAAAUAACUUGAGAUAUGUUGGCACACAAUCAAAAGCAAAAAAUAAAUGCAAAUUAGAGAUGAUCUCAUGGGCCUCAUUCCCCAAACACAAUGAAAUAGUAUUGCCUGAAAUUCUAAAACUGCACUUUACAGUUUAUUUAUGGCACUUUUUCCACCCAGCUGCCUUUCAAAUCAAUGCAGAGAUUGGAAGGGGAAUGAAAUGCGUGUUCCAAGUAAAGCCAGGAUCCAUUUUUCCAAGCUAUUCAUAAUCAAAUCACAUCUUGCAAUUUUGCAAAUGCCUAACACCUUCAGGCAAGCCAAACUAGGAUGCUGUUUAAGAUUUCAAUACAUGGGGUUGGGUUGGUGGCAGGGAUUCUCAUAGGUUUGCAGGUUCAUACCUGAAUAUAUUCAAGACCAAACUGCAAAAGCAUUGUGCAUGAUUCAGAGCUUUCCGCUGUUACUUUUUAGGACCUCAUAAUCACUAUGAAAAUGUUAGCAACCUCCUUUUUCCAGGUGGUUUGUAACCUCUGACAUCAAGUCCCCCAGAAGCAGUGCCCUUUGGUGCCUCAGAGACCGAGAGCCAUCUGAUUGAGCAAUUUAUUGUUUCUGGUCUUUCUCAAGUCAAGCACAAACAUGGCAUUUCCAUCUCCUGCUGUUUACCUCUGAGACUGAUGCCUGAUAUUCCGAAGUACAUGUCUACUCUACAUAAAGCAGGGGGAUGAGGCCUCCCAAGCAACUUCUCCUGCUGCUACAAGACUUCACUGAUUUUGUUCACACUGGCAAAAUGAUAAAAAUUCCUGGUGUGUGCUGUAGCUUCCCACUUUAGUCUCUCUUUCGAAAACACUUUCUAAAUGCAUAUACAUAUCUACAUAUCAUUGUUUAAAAUGUUUUUAUAUAUGUAACUGUUUUAUAUACGUUUUUAUUAUAUCCUGAACUGCUUCAGGAGCCUCAUGGGAAGCAACCCCUAAAUGAAAAUUAAUUAAUUAAAUAUGCAUAAGAAUAAUAAAGGUUUUGGUUCUCAGGAGGCUGUAUCAGCUCAAGACUGAGAGAACUCUUGAGGAUUUGGGCUUCAGCUUUCAGGGAGUAGGUCUUUUGUGCUUGAGUGGGCAGCAUCCCAUUCUCCUUAGUUGUGUCUGACCACCAGAUUCCCCUCCAAGCCUCCAUCUGUUUUGCUACUAUCCAGAACUUGACAACAUUGACAAACACAAGUACCACAUCCAGAAUUAGUUUGGCAAUGUGAUUUGAAUAGCAUAGUGUGGUUUUCCAUGGUGCAAAACUGGAGGCUUGUUGGUGUUUUUGUGGCCAUUUUAUUAUUAAUUAAUUUAUUCCCUGCCUUUCUCCCUGAAAGGCAGUUUGCAGAUGCAAAUAAGAACUGUUAUAAACAAAAAAUCAUUAAAAACUAUUAAACAUUGAUAAGAAUUUAAACUACAUACAUAUAUAAAAUAUAUUUUAAACCAUACAAAUAAUUAAAGUAAAAACAGCUGGGCACCUUUCUUGGAAUAGUGUAUGAUCAGGCACACCUUGUGUAUCACCAGCUGGUGGUGAUGAAGAGACUGCAGCUGAGGCUACUCUUUUCAGGGCCAAUUAAUUUCAAGAAAACAACUACAUGCGGAAUUCUUUUAUUGCAUUGUCCUUCAUUUGCUCUGAAAAGUUUCAGGCAGAAGUGGGGGUAGCCUCAGAAGAUGGAAUAGUGGACAUUUAACAAACAUUCAACGUGAUAAGUUACAACUUGAUAAGUUGCCUUUAUUUUAGAUUCUGAGCUCUUCAGAAGAGUCAACAUAGGCUGAAAAUCCCCCACUUCUGUGGACCAGCGAAAUGGUUCCCAGCCCCCUAAAGAAGCUCUCUGCAAGAUAGUAUUUCAUUCUGUUGGAUGUGUUUAAUUCAUCCCCAGAUGAGAAGUACAAGUGAAUGGUGUUAAAAGACAAUGCUCUUUGUUUAUUUCAAACAGCUGUAGCCAGGAUUAUUGAAAGUCAUUGACAUAAACGGCAGCUGCUAAGCCUGUAUCGUUGCUUAAAUGAUACAUGACAUAUAAAGAGACAUCUGCCUGACAUCACAUACUUGGCUUGCUUACCACCUGGCUCUGAGUUAUAUACGCUUAAACUGGAAGAGGGGCAUAACUGUAUCGACAGAAACAGUCAUUUUGGGGUCAUAUCAUUAUCAGAGGCAGAUUUAGGGCAGUAACUGGUUCCCCCCACUGGGCACAGAGACUAUGAUGUAGUGCACACACAGAACAGGAGGUGAGAGGCAGGGAGGGGCUCCAAAUUGUGGCCUCACACAGGGUGCUGCUGAAAUUUUACAGAUCAAAGUUGGCCUUGUCAUUGUCUGAAGGACAGAGCCCAUUGUUGGGAUCUUUGUGAACUUUUAAAGAUUAGGGUACUCAUCUCUGGUCUUUUUGAGCUGCAGCCAGUUGUUGAUAUUGCACAGCUCCUGAUAAUGCACAGGCUUCUAAUUGUUUUCAGCUGAACAUGAUUACAAGCUCCCUUCCAACCUUUGCACCAAACACAGGAGGUUGUGGGAGGAGAGGUGCACCUGAGAUGGUGGGCGGUUGAGAUAACCACUUGCCUGAACAGGCCUGUAGUUACAACUUGAUUUGCAGAAUUUUGCCAAAAAGGUUGGCUUCCACUAGAUACCCAAGUGGCUUUAAAAAAAUCUCACUAAAAUAAGGCCUUGAUGGGGAAAUAUUGGGGUUCAAUGCACAAUCCCCUGUGGGCUCAGCCACAUAUUGGCCAUAGGGCCAAUAAAAUCCAGGCUCCAGUCGUCAGUCAAACUGGACAUCUAUUUAGGAGUUGCAAGGCCAGUGUGACACAAGCUCAACCAGCAAGUAGCUGAGGGGUCUGCACCUUAUACGGCACCUAGCAGAAUAUUCCUCUCCAAAAGUUGUCAAACCACUUGCAAUCUACUUUCGGAUUGAAACAUCUCAGAUUCAAAUGGGAUGUAAUCUCUUUUGGAUUUUUUCAUAUCCUAUAACUUUUAGGAUUCCAAAUAAGAGUUAUUUUGUGCAAAUUUGGCAAAAUCCCACUGUGUGAGAAAUACAGUGGGACUCGGCCAAAUUUAGCAGAGAGGUUUGUUAUACUGUGGGAAAUGGUUGUGAAGUGUUAAAAACACCAAAGUGUGGGCAGAAGAGAAGUGCUUUGUGCAUGGGCUUUACUUGGUUUCAUCAGUUUGCCAGGGAUGGAGCAAGAACAUCUCCUUCAACAGCAAUUCCUCCUGUGUCAGGAAUUUGUGCAGUGGCACAUCUCCAGCUUGGAGUUAAAAUCCUUGGACAAGAUAACUAACCACUCAGAUUGUCAUCUUGCAUCUGCUAAUAAAACAGAAAAGAAUCCUAAAAUGCGCCUUCCAACAGACAUAUAGCUGACAUACUGCUGAGCUUGUAGAGGGGGAAGUACCUUAAUAGCUUUGGCUUUUGGUCUGAUGGGUAUGAGGUGUACUUUCAUUCCUGUAAACAUACAGGAAUCCCUGGCUGUGCACAGAGAACUACCCCCACCCAUGGGAGCACCCACAACUUUUAGGGAGCAAUACAGACAUUUCCCCUCUAAGCUGACUGUAUACCAAUUAUGGUGGACCCCACCUUUUGUACACAUACCAUAAUAGCCACUACAGGUUAUCUUUUGGGCUUUUUUGUGAAUCCUUCUGUCCUCAGCAGCAGUGGAGGGUGCUGUCCCAUGGCUAAGAUUGAAGUAAGCUUCAGCUGUAAAUCCAGCCAGUACAGUGGUACCUCAGGUUACAUAUGCUUCAGGUUACAUACGCUUCAGGUUACAGACUCCACUAACCCAGAAAUAGUGCUUCAGGUUAAGAACUUUGCUUCAGGAUAAGAACAGAAAUCGGGCUCUGGCGGCACGGCAGCAGCAGGAGGCCCCAUUAGCUAAAGUGGUGCUUCAGGUUAAGAACAGACCUCCAGAACGAAUUAAGUACUUAACCCGAGGUACCACUGUAUCUGCCAAUGGACUGGGCAGGAGGCACCAUCUUGUCCUUUGCUCCAGGUGCCAAGAAGUACCAGGCCAGCCUUCAUAUUGACUUGUUCCAGCAGAUCAAGUCUUGUGUUCUUUGUGGUAUCUAGACUAUCAUAUAGCCUAUAUGGUUGCCGUGUUCAUUCACUGCAUUUUUCAUUGAAGUAGCUCAGUGGAAUAUCAUAUGUUUAGUGUACAGAAGAUUCCGGGUUCAAUCCUUGGCUUCUUCAGUUGGGUAGAACUGGGGAGCUGGUGCAGUCAGUGCAGAUGAUACUGAACUAGGUGGACCAGUGACAUGACUCAGGAAGACAAGAAGUGGCUUUAUGCUAUGCAGUUACUUCAAAAGUGUGAAACUGCCAUUACAGCUCAAUUUCCUGUAUGUCCAUCAGUUCCCAAACAGUAUAACUAGGGUUAUAGUUAACAGUAUAAGUAGGCCAUAACUAGUUGGCUUUGGUAGCACUUCAAUCAAUUGUAUGAAUUCCCUCUUAGCAAAAUAUUUUCCCACUCUUUCACUUAUAUAUAGGAGCAUUAAAGAGUGUAAGCCUGCAGUCCUACAACCUGAGAGAAAGUCCAUUUGAGUUCAGUGGCGCUUACAUCUAUAUGGUUGUUCUGUAAAUGCUUUUGACAAUCCAUCAGUAAUCUAUUUCUCAGGUUAUUUGAUGGGGAACACAGCAAGAAACUAAGGCCUUGAUUUGAGUACACAGGACUUUUCGAUCCCCAAAGCAUACAGUGGUGCCCCGCAAGACGAAUGCCUCGCAAGACGGAAAAACCGCUAGACGAAAGGGUUUUCCGUUUUGAAGUUGCUUCGCAGGACGAAUUCCCCUAUGGGCUUGCUUCGCAAGACGAAAAUGUCUUGCGAGUCUUGAGAUUUUUUUUUCGCUUUUCCCCCCCUUUAUCUAAUCUGCUAAGCCUUUAAUAGCCUUUAAUAGCCUUUUAGCAGCUAAUCCCCUAAGCCUUUAAGCCUUUAAGCCUUUAAUAGCCGCUAAACAGCUGAUAGCGCUAAUAGCGCUAAUCCGUCAAUGGGCUUGCUUCGCAAGACGAAAAAACCGCUAGACGAAGACUCUUGCGGAACGGAUUAAUUUCGUCUUGCGAGGCACCACUGUAC
This 7479-nucleotide long non-coding RNA is filed under the name Podarcis lilfordi (Lilford's wall lizard). Lineage: Eukaryota; Metazoa; Chordata; Lepidosauria; Squamata; Lacertidae. The record is from RNAcentral.